UGCCCAACUGCGCGCUAACCUA
RNAcentral lists this non-coding RNA (22 nucleotides) under Arabidopsis thaliana (thale cress). Lineage: Eukaryota; Viridiplantae; Streptophyta; Magnoliopsida; Brassicales; Brassicaceae. The record is from RNAcentral.